ACGGUAACUCAUGAAUAAGCACCGGCUAACUACGUGCCAGCAGCCGCGGUCAUACGUAGGGUGCAAGCAUUAUCCGGAGUGACUGGGCGUAAAGAGUUGCGUAGGUGGUUAGUAAAGUGAAUAGUGAAACCUGGUGGCUCAACCAUACAGACUAUUAUUCAAACUCACUAACUCGAGAGUGGUAGAGGUAACUGGAAUUUCUUGUGUAGGAGUGAAAUCCGUAGAUAUAAGAAGGAACACCAAUGGCGUAGGCAGGUUACUGGACCAUUUCUGACACUAAGGCACGAAAGCGUGGGGAGCGAACCGGAUUAGAUACCCGGGUAGUCCACGCCGUAAACGAUGGAUACUAGCUGUCGGGGGUAUCGACCCCCUCGGUAGCGAAGCUAACGCGUUAAGUAUCCCGCCUGUGGAGUACGGUCGCAAGACUAAAACAUAAAGGAAUUGACGGGGGUCAGCACAAGCGGUGGAUUAUGUUCUUUAAUUCGAUGAUAACCGAUGAACCUUACCAGGGUUUGACAUCCAGGAAAGCACUGUGAAAGCAGAGUGUGCCUUUUGGA
RNAcentral lists this ribosomal RNA (557 nucleotides) under uncultured bacterium. RNAcentral describes it as "bacterial SSU rRNA". It matches the Rfam family "Bacterial small subunit ribosomal RNA", at positions 472 to 1025 of the family's 1533-position model. The record is from RNAcentral.